GAAAAGGUGGCUGAGAGGUUGAAAGCGAUAAUUUGCUAAAGCUGAGAGGUUGAAAGCGAUAAUUUGCUAAAUUAUUAUACUAUAGAUGAUAAAGUUAAUUAGUAUCAUAGGUUCGAAUCCUAUCCUUUUCA
Molecule: transfer RNA, 131 nt
Filed under: Melanothamnus gigas
Lineage: Eukaryota; Rhodophyta; Florideophyceae; Ceramiales; Rhodomelaceae
Description: tRNA-Ser
Rfam family: tRNA
About the family: Transfer RNA (tRNA) molecules are approximately 80 nucleotides in length.
Source: RNAcentral